Molecule: transfer RNA, 63 nt
Filed under: Eriopis connexa
Lineage: Eukaryota; Metazoa; Arthropoda; Insecta; Coleoptera; Coccinellidae
Description: tRNA-Trp
Source: RNAcentral
AAGGAUUUAAGUUAAUAAAACUAGUAACCUUCAAAGUUAAAAAUAGAAACAUUCUAAGCCUUA